UCCGAGUUGACCCCGGCAGUCUUCGAUGAGUCCCCGCCAUAACGCGCUGGCAACAUCGAACGAGGGUUGCGCUCGUUGCGGGACUUAACCCAACAUCUCACGACACGAGCUGACGACAGCCAUGCACCACCUGUGACCGCCCCCGAAGGACCCGACAUCUCUGCCGGUUUUGCGGCCAUGUCAAACCCAGGUAAGGUUCUUCGCGUUGCAUCGAAUUAAUCCACAUGCUCCGCUGCUUGUGCGGGCCCCCGUCAAUUCCUUUGAGUUUCAGUCUUGCGACCGUACUUCCCAGGCGGCGAACUUAACGCGUUAGCUUCGAAACUGAGGGCCAAGUUGCCCCCAACUUCCAGUUCGCAUCGUUUAGGGCGUGGGCUAC
This 376-nucleotide unclassified non-coding RNA is filed under the name uncultured bacterium. RNAcentral's name for it is "contains 16S-23S intergenic spacer region". The record is from RNAcentral.